Molecule: ribosomal RNA, 497 nt
Filed under: uncultured bacterium
Lineage: Bacteria
Description: partial 16S ribosomal RNA
Rfam family: Bacterial small subunit ribosomal RNA
Source: RNAcentral
GAUGAACGCUGGCGGCGUGCCUAAUACAUGCAAGUCGAGCGAACAGACGAGGAGCUUGCUCCUUUGACGUUAGCGGCGGACGGGUGAGUAACACGUGGGUAACCUACCUAUAAGACUGGGAUAACUUCGGGAAACCGGGGCUAAUACCGGAUAAUAUUUCGAACCGCAUGGUUCGAUAGUGAAAGAUGGCUCUGCUAUCACUUAUAGAUGGACCUGCGCCGUAUUAGCUAGUUGGUAAGGUAACGGCUUACCAAGGCAACGAUACGUAGCCGACCUGAGAGGGUGAUCGGCCACACUGGAACUGAGACACGGUCCAGACUCCUACGGGAGGCAGCAGUAGGGAAUCUUCCGCAAUGGGCGAAAGCCUGACGGAGCAACGCCGCGUGAGUGUUGAAGGUCUUCGGAUCGUAAAACUCUGUUAUUAGGGAAGAACAAACGUGUAAGUAACUGUGCACGUCUUGACGGUACCUAAUCAGAAAGCCACGGCUAACUACGUG